Molecule: long non-coding RNA, 1185 nt
Organism: Micropterus dolomieu (smallmouth bass)
Lineage: Eukaryota; Metazoa; Chordata; Actinopteri; Centrarchiformes; Centrarchidae
Exons: 3
Source: RefSeq, a predicted model, not a curated record
UAGAGAAAAUGUCCUCAGCAGCUACUUAGUCAGUCAAAACAAUCAGAAUCAGUUAAAAUCAGUUAAAAUCAGUUAAAAUCAGUUUCUUCGCUUCCAAACAAUCACCAAAUGCUGCUGUUGCUAGGUUACAGCCUGUCAUUCCAUUUUCAGUUGGCAUCAUAGGCAGAGCAGAAGAGGGGUUGCUUAUUGGGCUUAAGUUAAACUUUGUUUAAUUUCCCCUCAGUCUUUCUGACAGGAGCAGCAAAACAAAGGAGCAAAAGCUCUAUUACUGUGGUGGCGGUAAUGCAUCUCUCUGGUUUGCCAACCGCUAAUAUCUUUCUAAUAUCUUGUCUGUGUUGUUUCACUGGCUUGCUAACCAGACAAAGUUUUUUACGCUGAGGGGUAAACCUCACCGGCCAUUCACAUAGAGAAGCAAUCAGACAGUGAACCGCGGAAGAAUGUUUCAGGUUUGUUAGUCUGCAUUUGUAACACUUCAGUUCUCUAACGUCGUCGUCGAGACUAUCUCUCAACCUAAACAAAUUCCAUAAGUACACCUGCGCCAGUGUGAAAUCACUGAUUGUUUGAUCUCCACCUGAGCUACGAACAAAAAAACAAAACAAAGAAAAGUGUGUGGGUUACAGCAGAGCCCGAGCUAACAGAGAAAGAACAUCUUAUCUGCUUUAGUUUGGGAGCCUGUCUGUGGGCGGCCUCCUUGGAACUGUUGCUCCAAAACAGUUAGCUGGUUGUGGAGCUGUGUGUCCACCCUCUCUGGAGUAUUGCUUGCGGUGUCGUGAGCUGACGCCCAUUUGUCUCCAGCUCCUCAUCCACAGUCUGUUGCUGGAAGAUCACCUGCCUCUGCUCCAGCAAACCCCUGCAAAUCCCUAAAGAUACAAAACUAUAUUGGACAACAAGAAGAAGGCUGGGAGUGGUGCCAGAAGCUGGGUCUUUUUCUCUUCGAUGGAGGACCUCCUGGCUGAUGAUCCCAGUGUGGAUCCGGUCCACAUUGUGUCCUCAUUUGCUGGAGAUCUUUUCCAUGUCAUUUGAUAUGUUAUAUUAAGUAGCACAACAGCACACAUCUACAUGGAUUUCUAAAACACAUUGGAUAUUAAUUGAUCUUCAUCAGACCCAGAUGGCCCAGGACCUUCAACUUUUCAUCCUAAGCCAUCAGCUGAAGGUGGUAAAAAGGAAAAUACAUGCCACUGAGCA